Molecule: microRNA precursor, 205 nt
Filed under: Oryza nivara
Lineage: Eukaryota; Viridiplantae; Streptophyta; Magnoliopsida; Poales; Poaceae
Description: MIR812 microRNA precursor family
Rfam family: MIR812 microRNA precursor family
Source: Rfam by way of RNAcentral
AAUGUAUGACGCCAUUGAUUUUUUAUCCAACGUUUGACCAUUCGUCUUAUUCAAAAAAUUUAUAUAAUUAUCAUUUAUUUUAUUAUGACUUAAUUCAUCAUCAAAUGUUCUUUAAGCAUGACAUAAAUAUUUUCAUAUUUGCAUAAAAAUUUUGAAUAAAACGAAUGGUUAAACGUUGUUUGAAAAGUCAACGGCGUCAUACAUU